Molecule: ribosomal RNA, 438 nt
Filed under: uncultured bacterium
Lineage: Bacteria
Description: bacterial SSU rRNA
Rfam family: Bacterial small subunit ribosomal RNA
Source: RNAcentral
GGGCCCGCACAAGCGGUGGAGGAUGUGGCUUAAUUCGAGGCUACGCGAAGAACCUUAUCCUAGAUUUGACAUGCUUGAGAAUCCCUAUGAAAAUAGAGAGUGCCCUUCGGGGAGCUCUUGCACAGGUGCUGCAUGGCUGUCGUCAGCUCGUGUCGUGAGAUGUCGGGUUAAGUCCCUUAACGAGCGAAACCCUUAUCUCUAGUUGCCAGCGGGUAAUGCCGGGGACUCUAGAGAGACUGCCGGUGUCAAACCGGAGGAAGGUGGGGAUGACGUCAAGUCCUCAUGGCCUUUAUGUCUAGGGCUGCACACGUCCUACAAUGGUACGGACAAACGGACGCAAUACCGCGAGGUGGAGCAAAUCCUAGAAACCGUGCCUCAGUUCGGAUUGCAGGCUGCAACUCGCCUGCAUGAAGCCGGAAUCGCUAGUAAUCGCAGGUC